UUUUUUUCAGGAAGUGCUCUACUAUUCUUUUUCUCAUCUACGGUCCAUUUGGCUCCAGUUUGGGGGAAGAUCGGCCGCUUGGCCGUCGACCUCCUCCCAUUUUUAGUUUUCUUUUCUAGUUUGUUUUCUUUAGUUUUCUCAUCUUUGUGGUUUAGUCUCAUUGACAGAGUGUAAAUUCCUUUUGGGGUUUUUGAGUUUCUUCUCAAGUUUUAUUUGAUGAUCUGCUUGCAUAUUUGGAGAUCUUCCCUCCAAGAUGGUUAUGAAGUCUCUACGACUUUCUACGUUGGCAGUGAAAGGGAGGAUUCGCCACCCGCUGCCUUGCCAUGUUCCCGGUUGAUCCGGCCAGAUCGAAAUCUCUAUGGUGAUGGUUGCUACAUAUCCUUCCUGUUUCCAUGGCUUUGAAGGUAAUGAACAGAGAAGUUCUUCUCUUAUGUUGAUUGCUGGAGCUUUAUGAACAGAGAAGUUCUUCUCUUAUGUUGAUUGCUGGAGCUUUCUUCCUCAUUAGUGGCCAACACUGAGUCGAGAAUAUAGAGGCGUUAGUGAAGCUUCCUAAUUUGUUGGGGGUUCAUUUUGCCCAUCUCCUUUUUCAAGGCUCUAGCUGCUUGUUUUGGUUUUAGGUCGGAUUGUAGUUUUUAGUUCUUGUAUGGGUUCUUGAUCUGCAUUUUAAACUCUUUCAAUGAAAUGAAAUGGAUUUUUUGAAAAAAAAAAAACUCAAUUUUCAUUGCUUUGACCAAUAUUUAUAAAUUUCUAUAAUAAAGGGGUUUUUCUUAAUGAAGAAGUCCAAUCUCUCUUUUUAUUCUUAUGGCUGUUAACACACAAAACAUUU
Molecule: long non-coding RNA, 826 nt
Filed under: Manihot esculenta (cassava)
Lineage: Eukaryota; Viridiplantae; Streptophyta; Magnoliopsida; Malpighiales; Euphorbiaceae
Description: long non-coding RNA (MESC_LNC003928)
Source: RNAcentral